AUUAUCUUGGGGCUCAGAGGACAGUGCGAGCGCUGGGGUGUGCGAGGUUCGAGGGAGAAAGUCUCAAGAGAAGUCAGCUGCCAUAUGUUGAGACACUCAAGCAGCCUACAGUGAGGCCCACAUCAUGAGGAACUGAGGCCUCCUGCCAACGGCCAGUAAGAAACUGAGGCCUCUGUGUUGUAAGGGAGCCAUCCUGAAAGUGGAUCCUCCAGCCCCAGUCAGGCCUUCAGAGGGGUGCAGCUGACAUAUUGACCACACCUUCAUGAGAAACCCUGAGCCGGAACCCUGCAGCCACACAACUUCUGAAUUCCUCACCCACGGAAACUACAAGGCCUCACGUCCACCCACCACUCACUCACUGACUCACCCAGAGCAACUUCCAGUCCUGCAAGCUCCUUUCAUGAUAAGAGAGACUUGAAAAUGUGUAAAUAAAGAUUGGAGGGAUCCAGUUGAGAGCUAACGUUUAAAUAUGAAUCCAGAAGAGAAAAUGAAUCCAGAAAAGAAAAUGAAUCAUUGAUAGUGUAAGAUUCGUAUGAAGGAGAGGAGGAGAUAAGGAUUGGUUUGGAUAGGAGAGACACCAACCACUCCUAUGGCAACAGGAAGAAGAUUGGUUCAGACGCAGGAAGAAGAAAGAGAAAGAGAACGAAGAGAAGGAGAGGAUGAAAAAAGAGAAGGAGGAGGAGAAAGAGACAGAGACGGACAGACAGAGAAAGGAAGGGAAAAAAAAGAGUGGAUCGUGAGAAAGCAAACCAUGAAAAAGGAACUCACAGAAUCCAAGAAACAGGAGAUCCAGCCCAGGAAAGAGGCAGAAGGAGGUGCCAGUGCUCCAGCUGCCCAGCAGGUCUGGAGAGGAAUCCAUCUCAAUCAGAGCAGGAGAGCAGAGAACGAGGGAAUGUCUCCAAGAAGAAAAAGAAAAAGAAAUUUAUAGGUUGCCUGAUGUGUCUGAAUUUAUUGAGAGGAGAUUUCUAUUUCUGCUCGAGAUUUUGU
Molecule: long non-coding RNA, 987 nt
Filed under: Equus caballus (horse)
Lineage: Eukaryota; Metazoa; Chordata; Mammalia; Perissodactyla; Equidae
Description: lncRNA (ENSECAG00000053639.1)
Source: RNAcentral